AUGAGACUGCUGGGUCUUCUUCUGUGUCUGGUGACAGCCCCCCAAGGUGUCCUGUCCCAGGUGCAGCUGCAGGAGUCGGGCCCAGGAUUGGUGAAGCCCUCACAGACACUCUCCCUCAUCUGCACUGUCUCUGGUUACUCCAUCACCAGUGGUUAUUGCUGGACCUGGAUCCGUCAGCCGCAGGGGAAAGGGCUGGAGUGGAUGGGGUGCAUAGGUUAUGAUGGAAACACUUACUACAGCCCCUCCCUCAAGAGCCGAACCUCCAUCUCCAGAGACACUUCCAAGAACCAGUUCUCCCUGCAGCUGAGUUCCGUGACCACCGAGGACAUGGCUGUGUAUUACUGUGCAACAGACACACAGUGA
Molecule: non-coding RNA, 363 nt
Organism: Myotis davidii
Lineage: Eukaryota; Metazoa; Chordata; Mammalia; Chiroptera; Vespertilionidae
Source: the annotation of a RefSeq genome assembly